Molecule: ribosomal RNA, 254 nt
Filed under: uncultured bacterium
Lineage: Bacteria
Description: partial 16S ribosomal RNA
Rfam family: Bacterial small subunit ribosomal RNA
Source: RNAcentral
UACGAAGGGGGCUAGCGUUGCUCGGAAUUACUGGGCGUAAAGGGCGCGUAGGCGGCCACCGCAAGUCGACUGUGAAAUCUCCGGGCUUAACCCGGAAAGGUCAGCCGAUACUGCGGGGCUAGAGUGCAGAAGGGGCAACUGGAAUUCUCGGUGUAGCGGUGAAAUGCGUAGAUAUCGAGAGGAACACCUGCGGCGAAGGCGGGUUGCUGGGCUGACACUGACGCUGAGGCGCGAAAGCUAGGGGAGCGAACGGG